This 491-nucleotide ribosomal RNA is filed under the name uncultured bacterium. Its description in RNAcentral is "partial 16S ribosomal RNA". It matches the Rfam family "Bacterial small subunit ribosomal RNA", at positions 29 to 506 of the family's 1533-position model. The record is from RNAcentral.
AGUGAACGCUGGCGGUAGGCCUAACACAUGCAAGUCGAACGGCAGCACAGUAAGAGCUUGCUCUUACGGGUGGCGAGUGGCGGACGGGUGAGGAAUACAUCGGAAUCUACUUUUUCGUGGGGGACAACGUAGGGAAACUUACGCUAAUACCGCAUACGACCUACGGGUGAAAGCAGGGGAUCUUCGGACCUUGCGCGAUUGAAUGAGCCGAUGUCGGAUUAGCUAGUUGGCGGGGUAAAGGCCCACCAAGGCGACGAUCCGUAGCUGGUCUGAGAGGAUGAUCGGCACCACUGGAACUGGGACACGGUCCAGACUCCUACGGGAGGCAGCAGUGGGGAAUAUUGGACAAUGGGCGCAAGCCUGAGCCAGCCAUACCGCGUGGGUGAAGAAGGCCUUCGGGUUGUAAAGCCCUUUUGUUGGGAAAGAAAAGCAGCAGGUUAAUACCCCGCUGUUCUGACGGUACCCAAAGAAUAAGCACCGGCUAACUUCGU